Molecule: small RNA, 77 nt
Filed under: Xanthomonas hortorum
Lineage: Bacteria; Pseudomonadati; Pseudomonadota; Gammaproteobacteria; Lysobacterales; Lysobacteraceae
Also listed under: 2 other names
Description: sX9 sRNA
Rfam family: Xanthomonas sRNA sX9
Source: RNAcentral
AUGCACCACUCGUACACCCCGGUUCUGAGCGCGCCGUCCGCACCCCACUGACGAACGCUCGCUACGUUUUGUUAGCC